GACAGAGGGGGCAAGCGUUGCUCGGAAUUACUGGGCGUAAAGGGCGCGUAGGCGGGAUGGCAAGUCGGUCGUGAAAUCCCUCGGCUCAACUGAGGAGCGUCGAUCGAAACUGCCGUUCUUGAGGGUUGCAGAGGAGACUGGAAUUCCCGGUGUAGCGGUGAAAUGUGUAGAGAUCGGGAGGAACACCCGUGGCUAAGGCGGCUCUCUAGUACGGUACUGACGCUGGGACGCGAAAGCGUGGGGAGCGAACAGG
This 253-nucleotide ribosomal RNA is filed under the name uncultured bacterium. Its description in RNAcentral is "partial 16S ribosomal RNA". It matches the Rfam family "Bacterial small subunit ribosomal RNA", at positions 524 to 776 of the family's 1533-position model. The record is from RNAcentral.